Molecule: long non-coding RNA, 5024 nt
Filed under: Solanum lycopersicum (tomato)
Lineage: Eukaryota; Viridiplantae; Streptophyta; Magnoliopsida; Solanales; Solanaceae
Description: partial TCONS_00036213
Source: RNAcentral
CCAGAGUCGGAAGCAUUUUGUCGUUGACGAAUCAUCCACUUUCAGGUCCUAACUCAACUAUUUACUUUAAACCCAUUUUUAUAUAAACUUCUCUUCUCGCCAAAUUGUUGCAUUUCAGAAUUUUAUACCAAAACCCCAAAAAUUAAUAAUCAACAAUCUGCUAUCGGGGACAUUUUUUUUUUUUUUACAGGUGAAAGAUGGGAGCAUGUGCAUCGAAACCUAAUGGGUGUGUAGGAAUUAGGGGUCGGAGGCUUGUUCGUCGGAAGAGACACAGAGUUAGUAGAAAGAGAAAUGUAUCGAAGACUCAUUCGGCUUCUCAAAAUCUCAGUAAGAUUGAACCAUCUUCUUCAGCUGAUCAUUCUUACUCUAAUCCUGCUUUUCAAGGUAUUAUUACAAAUCAUCAGUUUUAAUUCAAGACAUUUUCAAAUGAAUUUAGGAUUUGAGGUCUCAAAUUAGUUUACAAUGAUAACUGGGUUCACAAUCAAAUAGUUAUAAAAUUUAAAUGAAAUUUUAAUACAAUCAAUUUGGUUGAGUUUCCAAUCUGUUGUGACGAAUAGUCAACACCCUAAUGUAAUUGUUUCUAUUUAUAUAGAGCAUAACUCGAUUUUGUGCCCUAAACAGGAAAUGCAGAGUCUUGGUUCGACCCGGAGAUGGUGGUUGAAUCUGACUGUGAGGAUGAUUUUCAUAGUGUACAAGAUGUUUUUUCUCAAAAUGGAUCUUUUUCAACUGGGGUUUCUCCAAGGUUUUCUGAUUUUGUGUAUCACAAUGGCAAUGCUGCUUCUGACCUCUCCGAGAAACAUGAACAGCCAAAUGGAAGUGAAGAAUCAAGUGUUGUUAAAGAGGGUGUUGUAAAGAGAUAUUUUUCAGCAGAUUCUCAACUUAAGUCCAAUUCUCAAACUGAGAUGGAUGACCCAAGUCUUAAUGAUAAAACACCCCGAAGCAUGGAUGGUGGUGCUAGGGUUGAAACAGGAAUUUUCCACAAUUGUGGAAGACAAAAUCCGUGUCUGCCUUGUCUUGCUUGUGUUGCCUCUUCGGAUGAAAAGAAAAAGUCUCUAAACCCGAUCUCACCACGCAGCCGGAAAAAAUCAUCCCUAACCCAGAUGUUAUCUUUUAAAUGGAGAGAAACAAAUUCAAGUUCUGCAUUAUGUAAGCUCUUUUACCUUGUAUAUACUGUUAAUGGCAGCCAGUGUGUGAAAUUGACUACUUUCCUUGCCUAAACCACGUUUGAAAUGUUUAUAGGAUUUUGAGAUUAAAAUGUUGGACUGAGAUGAGUGUAAAUAGAACAACAUGGUUAGGGUUCGUAUAGCCGAGGCCAAAAUGUUAGGGACUGUGGCAUAGUUGUAGCAGCAGCAGUAGUUGUUGUAAUCAACCUUGAACUUAUGGAAUCGUAUAUUAAGAGAAUAAACCAUUAUAUUAGGUAAUUUGCAUUAAGUAGAAUAGAAAGAAUGUACUAUGCUGAUACUUCAUCUUGAGUUGAUAGUCAUAUUUGUGACCCACACAUAAAAGCUGUAACUUGUCUAAGCGUACAUUGAAUCAUAGACAACAAUUGAAGGUGUUGAUUGUAUCUACAUAGUGCUACAAGCUACAACUGGAUUCACUUUAAUUGUUUUAUGUUACUGACUUGUCUGCUUUUCAUACUCCAGUGUCACCAAAGACUGUUCUGCAAAGACCAAUAGCUGGUUCUCAAAUUCCUUGUAGCCCGUUGGGACGGAAAAUGGCUAACUGCUGGUCAUCCGUUGAGCCAAAUACUUUCAAGAUCCGUGGUAAAAAUUUCUUCAGGUAAGAGAAUACUACUGAUGAGGGUCUCCAUCUGUGAGAUAAUUUUUUUUUUUCUAAACAAGAUUUGUGGCAUAUGACUAUAAAUCUAUAAUAGGCAUUUCUCCGACUCUGCCAUUUCUUUUUCAAGUAUAUUCCAAGUUUGUUUUGCUCAAUUGAAUAUUAAGUUCAAUCCCUCUUAAUUCUUUGACAGGGAUAAGAAGAAAGACUUUGCUUUAAAUUGUGCUGCAUUUUAUCCUUUUGGUGCUGAUUUAUUCUUAUCACCACGGAAAAUUGAUCAUAUUGCACGUUUUGUGGAACUUCCAGCCAUCGAUUCAUCCAGUGAAGUUCCAUCCAUUCUUGUUGUAAAUCUUCAGGUAUUUGGAUGCCACUAAUUUUUCUUCACAUUGUUAUAUCAGUGUAUACUUCAAAACACUGUUGAAGUAUAUUGUCUCAUAUUUGAUGCACAAUUACAUCUUCCUCAGAUAUUAGAUUUGUUUUUUAUUGCUCAGAUUUGGCAUUUAAAACCUGCCCCAGAGAAGAUGCUGGCAGUAUUUAUUUAUUUUUUGGAGAAUUCAUACUACUAAUGAUUUGCAUUCCCCAAACAAUGAUUGACUGCUUUUACAUCUCAGAUACCAUUGUACCCUCCUGCAAUCUUCCAAAAUGAAUAUGAUGGAGAAGGGAUGAAUUUUGUUCUCUACUUCAAACUUUCAGAAAAUUACUCCACGGAAAUGCCAGUCCAAUUUCAAGAAAAUCUCCAGGUAUGAUGGUGAAUUUUCUUUACACAUUUUGUGAUUUCUUAACAAGUAGCACUUAGCAAGAUUACCUCUUCCUGUAACGAGAUAGGAGUAUAUUUGAUUUUACUGUGUACAUACAUAAUUUUCUAUUUCUAUAUGAAUUGCUGAUUCGUUAUUCUUUUUCUUGCUAUCUGUGGGACAGAGGUUAAUACAUGAUGAAAUAGAGAAGAUCAAAGGCUUUCCCAGGGAUACAAAUGCACCCUUCAGGGAAAGAUUGAAAUUCUUGGGCCGAGUUGUAAACACAGAGGAUCUUCAAUUAAGUGCGGCUGAGAAGAAACUCUUGAAUGCAUACAAUGAAAAGCCUGUGCUCUCACGUCCUCAACAUGAAUUCUAUUUGGUAAGUUAAUUUAGAAACUCUGUAUUACAGUUUUUUCUUAUGACUUGGUUAUAUCUAGCCUCUGGAAAUAGCGAACUCUGAUCCACCUUCAGUGAGACCAGCGGUGGAACCAGAAUUUGAAGCUUAUUCUGAAUUCUUCAGUCUUUAAGUUAUUGGGUUCUAAAUUGAUAAUUUGGAAAUAUUCAAUGGAUUUUUAAUACUAAUAUAAAGUUCGAACCAAAGUUACUGGGUUUGGCCGAAUCCUAACCAAUACUCUCCCUCUAUCCCUGCAUGAGUAAAAGAUGAUAUGUUGUAUCGCAUAUAAACUACAUCACCUUCUAACUUCUAUGGAAAGAUAAUGGUUUCAAUAGUACUUACCAAAUAACAAAAGUAAGCACCGAACCAAAGCGCCAAGAGGGAUCCAUUGUCAAGUAAUUAAAAUAUAUAGUAGUCAAAAUUUCCGAUGAAGUGAUGUCUCUUAACACCCCCUUUGCUCAACGUGGGUCUGCCCCUGGUUGUGGUGUCUGGACAAAAGAAUAUUCAAACAAAUCUUUCCAAUUACAUUUUCUUGAUGCAUAUAGAUUGACAGCUUAUACUUUUUACCUUUUUGCAAGGACAAUCACUCCUUUUGUGUACAAACAUUCAUGUAUUUGGCACAUAAGAUCAAACAUAUUUCCUUCGUGUUCAUACUGAAAUUUUUUAAUGUUGGCUAUGCAGGGAGAAAACUAUUUUGAGAUUGAUUUGGACAUUCAUAGAUUCAAUUAUCUCGCAAGAAAAGGAGUGGAAUCAUUUAAAGACAGAUUGAAAAACUGUGUCCUUGACUUCGGUCUGACAAUUCAGGUAGCUAUUAACAUUUCUAAGUUUGGAUUUGAUUACCUCUUGAAGAAUUGUAUCUGAUAUUACUUGGUAAAAUGUGGUGCAGGGAAACAAGGCAGAGGAUUUACCAGAAAAUAUGUUGUGUUGUAUUAGAAUGAAUGAGAUCGAUUACGCCAAGUAUCACCAACUUGGCUUCUAAACCAUGGCAUACUAUAGGGAAUUUUUCUCUUCCCUUCUAUUAAAUUAAAUUUCCAUCUGAAAUGUAUAGCCAUUGGCCAUUUUUGGGUCUCUAUCCUGUAAUGUAAUGCUAACGCAGUAAAUGAAGAAGAAUAUUUCUUCAAUAUUUGGUGUUACAGAUCCCAUGUUGUAGCAUUUUGGAGACAUGUUCUCAACUCUUCAUGAGGAUUUUGCUUACUGGAUCCAACUUUGUCCAUUCGAUUCAUUUCAUUGAAUGAAAAAAGGAAAUUGACAAAUAAUUUUAUCAUUGUGUAUUCGUGAUUCAUGCUUGGUCUCAAAUUCAAUUUAACGCGAUAACAAUUGAAACAUGAAUAUAUGGCUAUGAAUCUUUAAGAGACGGGAGUUUUAGCGCAUCGUCCAAAAAUGGCAAUAAAAGAACACCUCGGUGUCUUACUUUGGGAUGCUUUCUCAUUUGUUUCCAUUCCGACAGAAUUGGUUGCAACAUUUGAUGUUCCAUGAACCGUUGUUGUUGUUGUUGGUGGUGGCGGCUCGCGUCCCGCGGGUCUAUUGUCCCAAAUGUGUCCGGAUGAUCCUUGUCGCCGGAAUGAGUAUGCUGAUCUCUCUAAUGUAGUCAUAAAUUUAUUUAUCAGAAAAAGUUGGGAUGUUUGAUAGAAUAUUUCUAUCUGUUUUUCUGGGUUUAUGUUUUAUAACUUCAUUAGUUCUUCUUAAUCUAAUUUAACGAUUUUUUGUGGGCUAUUCCAUCUUUACACCUGUUUUCCCCUGCUUUAUCUCUGUGCUUGGCACUUGGCAUAUUCUUGCACAUGUUUUUUCCUUCCAUAUUUUGUAGUAUGAAAUAAUUUAGCAGAUCUUGCACAGUUAGAUUGGGGGCACAUGGACAUUCUUUUAUCCUAAGUUGAUUCUUAUCCAUUUUAUCUUUUAUCUAUUUUUGUGUAUUUGCAAUUACUAUGUUUUUUUAUACCAAAAGUGAUAGGUAUUAAGAAUGUUGAUAAUUCUAACUAGCGAGCGAGACCCGUAACAAGUUACGGCUUUAAUUAGUAGCUUAAAACCAAAAUAAAUUGGAAGCUUAGUUUUUUAAUUUUUUUUAUAGUAUACCAAAUUGUUUUUUUAAUUUUGUGGUUUUAAACUCAAAUUUAAAAAUUGAC